GACCAGAGCCUGACUUGACUCAGUGUGAGGAGGUGGAGCUCUCCCCUCUCAGUGUGAACGUGGGGACGGAGAGAGUGGGGGCCGACUGCUUCGAGCUGCUGCGAGUGCUGGGCAAGGGGGGUUAUGGCAAGGUGAGGGAGACACCUGUCAGGGGGAGAAGGCCGAGCUGUGUGUGCUGUGAGUGAAGGGUAUGAACUCCAUGACUGUGCAGGGCGAGGGGUGUGUGUCCCUUCACUGUGCUCGGUCCUACUGUUGUCCUGUGUGAUGUUAAUGUGCUGUAUUGUGAAGAUUGUGAAGACCAGAAGCCAUAUCA
Non-coding RNA from Lepisosteus oculatus (spotted gar), 313 nucleotides. Lineage: Eukaryota; Metazoa; Chordata; Actinopteri; Semionotiformes; Lepisosteidae. The record is from RefSeq and is a predicted model, not a curated record.